GUGCUCCCAGGUGUCUGUAGGGAUACCCAGAUGCCCCCAGGUGUGUCCCAGGUGUGUCUCAGGUGUGUCUUAGGUGUCCCCAGGUGCUCCCAGGUGUGCCCAGGUGUCUGUAG
Long non-coding RNA from Lepidothrix coronata (blue-crowned manakin), 113 nucleotides. RefSeq lists it as uncharacterized. The transcript is spliced from 4 exons. NCBI's taxonomy places the organism in Eukaryota, Metazoa, Chordata, Aves, Passeriformes, Pipridae. The record is from RefSeq and is a predicted model, not a curated record.